CAAAGGGUAGUUUAUAUAAAAUAUUAAUUUUGGAGAUUAAAGAUAAGUUUUUCUUUCCUUUGA
Molecule: transfer RNA, 63 nt
Filed under: Stenotoxodera porioni
Lineage: Eukaryota; Metazoa; Arthropoda; Insecta; Mantodea; Toxoderidae
Description: tRNA-Pro
Source: RNAcentral